AUCCCUGAUUAGUCCUGAUGGAUGGCUCUGGGAGUUUAGCAUGUCAUGUAACUGCUCAGGGACAGGCGACCAGAUUAUCUGACUGUUAAAAGUAAAAACACCAACAAGGGAUGCUCAGGGUUCCUCAUCACACACGAAGAGAGGAGAAGCAGCAUCCUUGGUGGAUCACAUCUACUAUGAUCUGGAAACAUCUGGGUGCCAAGGAGCAAAAUAAUCCAGGAGGCAUAGCUUUGGAAGGAAACACCAAAAGCAGGGAGACCACCAGCUCACUGCAAGGAACAUUCAUGGUUAAGGAAAGAAAAUCUGCAAGGGUCAGUAGGGCUGGAAAAUUCUGGAAGACAAGAGGAUGGAAAAGGAGAGCAAGAGUAGAAAGAAGCCAUGGAGGCAGAAGAUGAAGAGAUUAG
RNAcentral lists this long non-coding RNA (404 nucleotides) under Cricetulus griseus (Chinese hamster). Its description in RNAcentral is "lncRNA (ENSCGRG00000025553.1)". Lineage: Eukaryota; Metazoa; Chordata; Mammalia; Rodentia; Cricetidae. The record is from RNAcentral.